RNAcentral lists this long non-coding RNA (2310 nucleotides) under Helianthus annuus (common sunflower). RNAcentral describes it as "hypothetical non coding rna". Lineage: Eukaryota; Viridiplantae; Streptophyta; Magnoliopsida; Asterales; Asteraceae. The record is from RNAcentral.
UUGACCAAGGUGUAAAGGAGUGUUGGUGGAUAAAAGAACCAUAGAUCCUUAAGUUUUCACACUUAUCAUCUUCUUAAAAAUUCAAAACACAAACUUUCUCUCCUCCUCUACAAGCUCACGGCCAACAUUCCCUUCACUUCACCUUCAUUUUUCAAUCUAUUUCAACAUCAUCCAAGCAUAAUCUAAGGUGAUUUAAGCAUAGAUAGGAAGGUUGCAAGCAAGGAGACUUGGAGGACCAUCUUGUGGAGCUAUUACCCACCUUUUUUCUUCUUGAUCUUCCCUAGCCCGUGUGCUAGCAGUAAGCCCUCUUGAUCUUGUUUUUACACUUGAUUUUAGUAGUUAAAGUAUGUAGUAACAAGAUAAUAUAAAGAUCACACCAAAACAAGAACAUGAAGAUAAACAUAAAGCUUGAAAUCAUGAAGAUCUAAGUUGUUUAAGUGUAUGUGAUGAAUUUGUUUGUUGAUUUCUUUAAUGUAUGGUGUAGAUCACCACAUAAAGCUUGCUAGAUAAUGAUUUAAAACAUGAUCUAACAAGUAUGAGGAUGGAUCUUGAAAAAUCUAUGUUGAUCAUCCUUUAUGUUAAGUGUGAACUUGAAGGUAAACUUGAUUUUGAGUAGGAUGAGGAUUACCACAAGUUGUAAGUCUUAAAAAUAUAAGAUUUCAAAAGUGAAAGUUUCAAGAAAAUAAAGUUUACUUCAAGAUUUAACAUGACUUGGUUUUUUUGAAAGAAAGUAAACAUGUUUUAACUGUUAAAUGGAACACUUGAUGUAUGGAGAACAUGAAAAACUCAAGAUGAUGAACUUUUGUAAAAGUGAGUUACAAGUUGUAAAGAUUGAAAAUUUGUAAGAAUGAGUUUUAUGAAAUAAAAACCAUGGUUUUAGUGUUAGAAAAUUAUGUUAAACACCAUGUUAAAAUACUACAAGAUUUUAUAAAACUUCAAGUUCAUACCAUCUUGUAAAGGUGCAUGUUUAUGGCUCAUGAAAAUGAUAUGCUAAUAAGCAUGGAAACCUCCAUUUUCAAGGGAAAAUAUGGCAAAAUUUUUGUAAAAAUUCAACACUUAGAAAAAUAAUUUUAAAAAGUGUUUAGAAGUAAUUUUUGGUCAUGAUUUAGAAGUAUAUAUGCACUUUGAUGGGAAAAGACAAGAAUACCCUCAUAUAAGGUCUAUGUGAUCUAAUUUAACGAAGAAGAUUAACUAGGUUAGGGCAAAAGGAAAUAACGUGUAAUAUUUUAAAACAUUAAGUACAAGGCUCUUCAAUUUUAAAGAUAAAUGAUAUCGUCUGAAAUUAGGUAUAAAGAUAGCGGACAUAACUUACAUUUCACUCUUAACAAAAUAUUUAACUCUAGAGAGAUCAGUUCUUAAGAUAAAAAAAUGAGUGGUCCACAUUUAUUCUUAGAGUUUUUAAAUUUCCCACGUUCUCUUAAGAUUGCACCCUAUAUAUAUAACAAUUACUUGUAUCUAGAAUAAAUUUUGUACCCGAAUUUAACUUAAAGGAAGGGGUAGGAUCAAAUAAAAAGUUGAUUUUGUUUAAUUUGGAAGAAUGAAUAUUAACCUUUCAUUUUCAAAUCAAUGGUUAAAAUGAAAGUGUAGGAAAAAAGAUGGGUGUAAUUGUAUUUUUGUAAUAGUCAAUUUGUUGACUUUCUCUCUUCACAUGCUAUAUACAUACAUUAUACCCUAAUAUUUUUUAAACGUUCAUAACUUUUUUAGAUGACAUUUUUUUUUUUAAAACACGAGAUCUAAAAAAAACCCAAACAAUUGUCUUAGAUUUAUAUGUUGUAUAACAUUUUUUGUACUGGAUUUUUGUUCUGGAUUUUUUGAGCUACAAUUUUUUGUGCUGAACCUUUUGUGCUAAAUUUUUUAUACCGAAUUUUUUGUUGUACUAAUUUUUUUUAGAAGAUUUUUUGUAUUGUAUUUUAAGAAACGGGUGAGAGUUUGUGUUGUAGGACAAAAUAACCUUCCAUCCUACCUAUGACGAUACAUGUCAUUUUUAUAAUCCUUGCUAAACUAUUUAAACAAAACCUACUUUUUAAACGAUCUUUCCGGUAACUUAACUUAAUAUAUCAUUGUUGUACUAAUAUAUACUCUAGAUUGGACAUAUGCAUCGCUCAUCACCAAAAAAAUUACUAUUUGACCUAUGCAUCGCUCAUCAACAAGGAAUUAUCUAAAAGUUUUAUAAAAGGAAUAUAUAUAUUUUUUUUUAAAUUGAACUACUAGUCGGUGAUAUUUUCGUUAGUGAAACUCAGAUUCCUACUUUCCUAGCUAGUAGUGAUUUUAAACAUCAUAGUGUAGAGUUCAAAUGAGAAGAAUUUUUUU